RNA transcript from Argentina anserina (silverweed cinquefoil), 954 nucleotides. It is a transcript of the gene named factor of DNA methylation 3-like, with no coding region annotated. The transcript has 5 exons. Lineage: Eukaryota; Viridiplantae; Streptophyta; Magnoliopsida; Rosales; Rosaceae. The record is from RefSeq and is a predicted model, not a curated record.
GAAGGGUGCUGGCGAAGUGGAGCAGUUGUUGGCUCAAGAACGGAAGGUUUGCUAUUAGAUAUUUGGUUUUGCUUGCUGAUUUGGUUGGUUAUGAUGAAGUCAUGAGCCUCUGAAAAUUGUUGUUUUAUGAUUAACCAGCUAUGGCAUAAAGAGAAGCAUCUGCUUGAGCUGAAAAACCUUGAAUUGGCGAAUGCGAUUGACGUGAAGAGUAAUGAGAUCCAACUGUUGGAGAAGAAGCUGCAACAUAUGAAAGAGAUGGGAACAAUGGAGCAGAACAAAACAGAAAGGAUGAUAGCAUUGCUAGAGGGGAAACAGAAAGAAAAUGAGAAACUUCAUCUUAAAGUGGCUGAGUUAGUAAAGCAACUCCUGGCAAAAAAUGCGAGGCAUGGGGAUGUGGACGUAGACACAGAGUUUAUCGGUCUCUCUGACUUUUCCAAUGCAUAUAUUGUCAAUGAGCAGAGCUAUAAAGAUGAACUCCAGGAGGCUCGUAAGGCGUUGAUCAAUGUAUUGCGUGAUGGUUCAAAAGUUUCUAUUGGGGUGAAGAGGUUGGGGAAUCUUGAAUUGAAAGCAUCUCAAGUUGCUGCCAGAAGAGAAUAUUUUGUGGAAGAGGAGGUAAAUGAGAGGGCAGCUGAGUUAUGCUCUAUGUGGGAGAGUUGCCAGAGAUCCUGAUUGGAAGCCAUUCAAGACUAUCCUGGAUAUGAGAGGAAGGAACAAGGUACUUGUUCAAGUAAUUGUUGAUGAGGAAGAUGAAAAGUUAAAGAAUCUAAAGGAGGAAUCAGGUGAUGAAGCGUAUGGGGCCGUACUAACUGCAUUGUUGGAAAUGAACGAGUAUAAUCCUGGUGGUAGAUAUGCAGUUGAAGAGCUAUGGAACUUUCAACUAGGUAGGAAGGCAUCAUUGACAGAGGGACUCCAAUAUCUUCUGAAGCAACUUGAUUCGGUUACCACAAACAAGCG